Molecule: ribosomal RNA, 460 nt
Filed under: uncultured bacterium
Lineage: Bacteria
Description: partial 16S ribosomal RNA
Rfam family: Bacterial small subunit ribosomal RNA
Source: RNAcentral
CCUACGGGUGGCAGCAGUGAGGAAUAUUGGUCAAUGGGCGGAAGCCUGAACCAGCCAAGUAGCGUGCAGGAUGACGGCCCUACGGAUUGUAAACUGCUUUUGUCCGGGAAUAACGCGCCUUACGUGUAGGUCUUUGCAUGUACCUUAUGAAUAAGGACCGGCUAAUUCCGUGCCAGCAGCCGCGGUAAUACGGAAGGUGCGGGCGUUAUCCGGAUUUAUUGGGUUUAAAGGGAGCGUAGGCCGCCUGUCAAGCGUGCUGUGAAAUGUCCGGGCUCAACCCGGGCCCUGCCGUGCGAACUGGCGUGCUUGAGUCCGCGGAAAGCAGGCGGAAUGCGUCGUGUAGCGGUGAAAUGCUUAGAUAUGACGAAGAACCCCGAUUGCGAAGGCAGCUUGCUGCAGCGGAACUGACGCUGAUGCUCGAAAGCGCGGGUAUCGAACAGGAUUAGAUACCCCAGUAGUC